Molecule: long non-coding RNA, 1060 nt
Organism: Jaculus jaculus (lesser Egyptian jerboa)
Lineage: Eukaryota; Metazoa; Chordata; Mammalia; Rodentia; Dipodidae
Exons: 5
Source: RefSeq, a predicted model, not a curated record
GGAGGCGGCGGCGGCGGCGGCUGCGGGCUCGCAGUGCCGCUAGCUCGCGAGGAGGCGCGGCCGGAGCCGCCGGGCCGGUGUCACCAAGAGUGGAGAAGGCGCAGGGACCCCCGGAGCGCGCGCGCACGAGAUAACGCAGCGGCCGCCCAAGCUGUCACCUCCAGCCUCUCUCCGAGCUCUCGGUCGCCUCUGCCAGAAGCCAGAGCUGGACUCGCUGACGAGCCGCAGAGAGAGAGACACACACACACACUGAGACGAGAUGAUUAUUAGUUGCGUUGAGUCAUCAGGCAAAAUAGGAAAUUGGUGGGUUUCCCUUCGUUGGAAUGGAUUUAAGCUGUGAGACCCAAAGUCCGCUGAAGGUUGCCAGGUUCUUGGCUCCAGCUAAGGAGUUGUUUUUUCAUUUGUCAUCGAGAACUCUGGAACUGGAGUCUAAAAUUUAGGAAUGCUCUGACUUCAACUUCAGUGACUCAGUCCUUCACGCUCCCCCAUUCCUGGCCAACACUCACGUUCCUGCCAUCCACCCGAGAUUCCAGAGCCCCAAAGCCACAAAUCUGCCACCACCAGGUCACUGUGCCAUCUGUCGCAGCCCGCGUGCAAGGAUCCCGGGAAAGCCUCCAGCGACGCCUCGAACUUCUGCCUCUCCCCUCUUGAAACUUGGCCCACGGUUUCAGCCACCCUGGUUCUUAGGCUAGGCUCCGCGUAGGCCCGUAGGCUGUUGGGGCUGGGUAGGGUAUCAGGUGAGGCACCCUUUGUGCUGGAUCCAGAACCCUCUUGGCCAGCGCAGGAGCCGGGCGAAGACGCCCUGCACCAAUCAAACUUUCACCCCUUUGUUCCUAUCUCUCUUUAUCAUGCGCAUAUCUUUAUAAGGUGUGGCUGUUAACAGUCCACCAGUUGACUCCGGAGUGGGGAAAAAAAUGCCCCCAGGAUUGGAUUAGGAUUUUCUUAUUUGACUUCCCCCGCGACUCCCUUCCAAAUCCUUCGCCCUGUUCGCUCAGACUAUCCCUGGACCUCGGAGCGGGAGGGGUCAUGGCACGCUUCGACACCAAGAAUCCAGCUCUCG